RNAcentral lists this ribosomal RNA (440 nucleotides) under uncultured bacterium. RNAcentral describes it as "partial 16S ribosomal RNA". It matches the Rfam family "Bacterial small subunit ribosomal RNA", at positions 338 to 795 of the family's 1533-position model. The record is from RNAcentral.
CCUACGGGGGGCAGCAGUGGGGGAUAUUGCACAAUGGGGGAAACCCUGAUGCAGCGACGCCGCGUGGGUGAAGAAGCGCCUCGGCGCGUAAAGCCCUGUCAGCAGGGAAGAAAAUGACGGUACCUGGAGAAGAAACCCCGGCUAACUACGUGCCAGCAGCCGCGGUAAUACGUAGGGGGCAAGCGUUAGCCGGAUUUACUGGGUGUAAAGGGGGCGCAGACGGCGAUGCAAGUCAGGAGUGAAAGCCCGGGGCGCAACCCCGGGACUGCUCUUGGAACUGCGUGGCUGGAGUGCAGGAGGGGCAGGCGGAAUUCCUGGUGUAGCGGUGAAAUGCGUAGAUAUCAGGAGGAACACCGGUGGCGAAGGCGGCCUGCUGGACUGCAACUGACGUUGAGGCUCGAAAGCGUGGGGAGCAAACAGGAUUAGAUACCCCUGUAGUC